GUACUUGCCUGGCAGGGGAGAUACCAUGAUCACAAAGGUGGUUUUCCCAGGGUGAGGCUCAUCCAUCGCCCUCCAGAUGUGCUCACCCCUGUGAUUUCCCCAAAGGCGGGAAACUCCACUGCAUAAUCUGGAAGUGGAGGACUGCGUUUGUGCUCUCCCCCA
This 162-nucleotide small nuclear RNA is filed under the name Dasypus novemcinctus (nine-banded armadillo). RNAcentral's name for it is "U1 spliceosomal RNA (ENSDNOG00000047091.1)". It matches the Rfam family "U1 spliceosomal RNA". From Rfam's summary of the family: U1 is a small nuclear RNA (snRNA) component of the spliceosome (involved in pre-mRNA splicing). Its 5' end forms complementary base pairs with the 5' splice junction, thus defining the 5' donor site of an intron. Lineage: Eukaryota; Metazoa; Chordata; Mammalia; Cingulata; Dasypodidae. The record is from RNAcentral.